RNAcentral lists this ribosomal RNA (528 nucleotides) under uncultured bacterium. Its description in RNAcentral is "partial 16S ribosomal RNA". It matches the Rfam family "Bacterial small subunit ribosomal RNA", at positions 355 to 874 of the family's 1533-position model. The record is from RNAcentral.
UGGGGAAUUUUGGACAAUGGGCGAAAGCCUGAUCCAGCAAUGCCGCGUGUGUGAAGAAGGCCUUCGGGUUGUAAAGCGCUUUUGUCCGGAAAGAAAUCCUUGGCUCUAAUACAGUCGGGGGAUGACGGUACCGGAAGAAUAAGCACCGGCUAACUACGUGCCAGCAGCCGCGGUAAUACGUAGGGUGCAAGCGUUAAUCGGAAUUACUGGGCGUAAAGCGUGCGCAGGCGGUUUGCUAAGACCGAUGUGAAAUCCCCGGGCUCAACCUGGGAACUGCAUUGGUGACUGGGCAGGCUAGAGUAUGGCAGAGGGGGGUAGAAUUCCACGUGUAGCAGUGAAAUGCGUAGAGAUGUGGAGGAAUACCGAUGGCGAAGGCAGCCCCCUGGGCCAAUGCUGACGCUCAUGCACGAAAGCGUGGGGAGCAAACAGGAUUAGAUACCCUGGUAGUCCACGCCCUAAACGAUGUCAACUAGUUGUUGGGGGAUUCAUUUCCUUAGUAACGUAGCUAACGCGUGAAGUUGACCGCCU